RNAcentral lists this long non-coding RNA (919 nucleotides) under Drosophila guanche. Lineage: Eukaryota; Metazoa; Arthropoda; Insecta; Diptera; Drosophilidae. The record is from RNAcentral.
CCUCUCCGCUCUGUUCUUUCUUUUGCUCUCGCAGUGUGUUUAUUUCAAAUUAGUAAAGGUAACAAAACGAAGCAAGCAAGUGGAAGAAAAGAAGAAUAACAAGAUGAAGAGCCAAAGGAGAAAAACAGUUUGCAAGGUGCAGAGCAUACAGGGUGGAGGCAUUCCUUUGGUUAUCUUUUUCAUCUUCUAUUUGUCUGUGAGUGAAUGAUUGGAGGGAUUGUUUCCUCUUUACAGGGCCCAACACGCUGCCAUCAAGUAUUCGCUCUUAAAAGCCUGCAACCGGACAUACUGUCUCUCAUGCAUGACAUUAACAGUUAUUUAACUAUUAACCAGGCAUUUACGAUUGCAUUAAUUAUGAAUUUAAUUACGAAUUUACAAAUAUUUAAUGCAAAUUAAAUCACAACCUCAGGCACGGAAACCGUGCUGCCCGGACACACACACACACACACACACACAUACGAUCCAUCAGUGCUGCAAACACACACACACACACACCUACCCAAUAAGGCGUCGUAAAAAAGUUUCGCUUUCUUUUUGCACAUCAUUUUGCAUGCGCAGUGGAAAAAGUAGAGACAAAUACAGUAAAAAAAAAGAAUACAAAAACAGUGCCACUACAAGUAUAUACAUAUGAAUGUACGCACUAGUACUACUAUAAGGUGUUAAGCACCAUCCACCAAAAAAAAAAACAACACCAACGAUUGCAGCCAUUGAGCAGAACACGAUUUUUGUGUAUUGCGCGGUGAGUGAGAGAGAAAGAACGUGCAUAAGUGUGUGUGUUUUUGGGAUGCUGAGAGAGUGAGAGCGACAGAAGCCGGUUGGUCGGUGCUGCCAGAUAACAGCUGUUACUCUUUCUAGCCGCUGGCAGAUGCAAUCCACAUGCCCGUUCUUGUGAAUUCUAUUCGGCUUUUAGCCGGUUUUU